CCUACGUGUGGCAGCAGUGGGGGAUAUUGGACAAUGGGGGGAACCCUGAUCCAGCGACGCCGCGUGAGUGAAGAAGUAUUUCGGUAUGUAAAGCUCUGUCAGCAGGGAAGAAGAUGACGGUACCUGAGUAAGAAGCCCCGGCUAACUACGUGCCAGCAGCCGCGGUAAUACGGAGGGGGCAAGCGUUAUCCGGAUUUACUGGGGGUAAAGGGAGCGCAGACGGGGAGAGAAGUCUGAAGUGAAAGCCCGGGGCUCAACCCCGGGACUGCUUUGGAAACUGCCUGACUGGAGUGCUGGAGAGGCAAGCGGAAUUCCUAGUGUAGCGGUGAAAUGCGUAGAUAUUAGGAAGAACACCAGUGGCGAAGGCGGCUUGCUGGACAGUAACUGACGUUGAGGCUCGAAAGCGUGGGGAGCAAACAGGAUUAGAUACCCCUGUAGUC
This 440-nucleotide ribosomal RNA is filed under the name uncultured bacterium. RNAcentral's name for it is "partial 16S ribosomal RNA". It matches the Rfam family "Bacterial small subunit ribosomal RNA", at positions 338 to 795 of the family's 1533-position model. The record is from RNAcentral.